ACUCAAAGGAAUAGACGGGGGCCCGCACAAGCGGCGGAGCAUGUUGCUUAAUUCGACGCGACGCGAAGAACCUUACCAAGGUUUGACAUGGGCCGUAAACCCGCGGAGACGCGGGGUCCUUCGGGGCGGUUCACAGGUGGUGCAUGGCUGUCGUCAGCUCGUGUCGUGAGAUGUUGGGUUAAGUCCCGCAACGAGCGCAACCCUCGUCCCAUGUUGCCAGCAUUAGGUUGGGGACUCAUGGGAGACUGCCGGGGUCAACUCGGAGGAAGGUGGGGAUGACGUCAAGUCAUCAUGCCCCUUAUGUCUUGGGCUGCAAACAUGCUACAAUGGCCGGUACAGAGCGCUGCGACAUCGUGAGGUGGAGCGAAUCGCGGAAAGCCGGUCUCAGUUCGGAUCGGGGUCUGCAACUCGGCCCCGUGAAGCCGGAGUCGCUAGUAAUCGCGGAUCAGCAACGCCGCGGUGAAUACGUUCCCGGGCCUUGUACACACCGCCCGU
RNAcentral lists this ribosomal RNA (495 nucleotides) under uncultured bacterium. RNAcentral describes it as "bacterial SSU rRNA". It matches the Rfam family "Bacterial small subunit ribosomal RNA", at positions 899 to 1397 of the family's 1533-position model. The record is from RNAcentral.